Molecule: ribosomal RNA, 482 nt
Filed under: uncultured bacterium
Lineage: Bacteria
Description: partial 16S ribosomal RNA
Rfam family: Bacterial small subunit ribosomal RNA
Source: RNAcentral
AUUGAACGCUGGCGGCAUGCCUUACACAUGCAAGUCGAACGGUAACAGGUCUUCGGAUGCUGACGAGUGGCGAACGGGUGAGUAAUACAUCGGAACGUGCCCGAUCGUGGGGGAUAACGAAGCGAAAGCUUUGCUAAUACCGCAUACGAUCUACGGAUGAAAGCAGGGGACCGCAAGGCCUUGCGCGAACGGAGCGGCCGAUGGCAGAUUAGGUAGUUGGUGGGAUAAAAGCUUACCAAGCCGACGAUCUGUAGCUGGUCUGAGAGGACGACCAGCCACACUGGGACUGAGACACGGCCCAGACUCCUACGGGAGGCAGCAGUGGGGAAUUUUGGACAAUGGGCGAAAGCCUGAUCCAGCCAUGCCGCGUGCAGGAUGAAGGCCUUCGGGUUGUAAACUGCUUUUGUACGGAACGAAAAGACUCUGGUUAAUACCUGGGGUCCAUGACGGUACCGUAAGAAUAAGCACCGGUUAACUACGUG